Molecule: ribosomal RNA, 414 nt
Filed under: Triticum aestivum (bread wheat)
Lineage: Eukaryota; Viridiplantae; Streptophyta; Magnoliopsida; Poales; Poaceae
Description: partial small subunit ribosomal RNA
Source: RNAcentral
AUGACCGUGACGCUGCAGGAUAUCGCUAUGAUCACCGGUCUUCCUAUCGAUGGCAAUCCUUUAUGUAUGAACACCGAUUCUGAAGGGUGGCGCGCGCAGAUGCAAGCCCUUAUCGGUAUGGUUCCUCCGGAGCCUCGGGAGCCAGAAAGGGAAGAUAAGAAGAAGGAAAGAGUCGCAGCGGGCGCUACUUUCACGUGGAUAUCAUCGAACUUCGCUCAUUGCCCCGAUGAUGCUAAUGAGGACAUGGUGAAGACUUAUGCUCGUGUCUACAUGUGGUACGUGGUAUCGAGGACAAUGUUUGCUGAUGGCACAGGCAAGAAUGCUCCAUGGAUGUGGCUGAAGGCGUUGACCGUCUUCGAUAGCAAAUGGAGUUGGGGUUCGGCGACAUUAGCUUACUUGUAUCGACAGGUAUGA